CAGACUGUAACUGCCAGAGCAGCGC
This 25-nucleotide non-coding RNA is filed under the name Cricetulus griseus (Chinese hamster). Lineage: Eukaryota; Metazoa; Chordata; Mammalia; Rodentia; Cricetidae. The record is from RNAcentral.